This 706-nucleotide long non-coding RNA is filed under the name Strigops habroptila (Kakapo). RNAcentral describes it as "lncRNA (ENSSHBG00005019487.1)". Lineage: Eukaryota; Metazoa; Chordata; Aves; Psittaciformes; Psittacidae. The record is from RNAcentral.
CAGCUCACUGCAAUUUAGAUGGAUGCAGGAGGGGAUGAGUACAUGUGGAAAGAGAAUAUAAAAAGAAAAAAUAGACCAAGAAAAAGCAUUGCAUUUCACGGGUUUUUCUGAUUCCAAAAGAAGACCCCAUGCUUUAUUAACCUGACGUAUCGUUUCUCUCAUUACUGAUAUUUAGUUCCUCUGGGGCAGAAGCUUUUAACAGCACUCAGCUAUACCAUGUACUAGUCUGCCCCAAACUCCCCCAAAUUUGUUGGGGCACUGACUACUUGAUAACCUUGGAGGGAAGAGUUUCACCAUUAUCAAUAAUAUCUGCAGUUUCCCUUCAAGGUUCUUUUCUCAUCGACGAACUGAUGAGGUCCAACACGAUUUUCUAAUUAUUCCAAUUUCAGGACAUUGGUGCUGCUGAUUAGGAAAUACACUGCUCCCAAACCAGUCCCCUGGAGCUGAGUGUACAAGCACAGCGUGGAGAAGGCAGGAAAAUGAACCCAUGUGGAACGCUGUGGACAGAAAAACAUUGCAAAAUUAUGAAAAUAUAGCAGUCAUUUGUACAUACAACUAUUCCAUCCUCCUGAAAGGCACAGCGAAAUGGAUCAGCCAGGACAAGUACAUGCACACAAACAGCAUAGCCAAGUUGUGACACUGUAAAGGACAAUGGCUGCCUGCCUGUAACAACAGGAUGCCUCGAAUCCCCAAAACUAUCUUUAGC